AUGGCCUCGUCGCCGCCGCCGCCGACCACCGUCCGCCGGAACCCUCCCCGCCGCGGCAGGCCGGCCCUGACCCCAGGCCCGACCCCCGCCCAGGCGCCGACCCCGACCACGGGCACCCUCCGCUCCCGCCGCCGGAAAGCCCUGGUCAUCUCCCGCCUGCUCGACGACGAACCCGCCGCGGCGGCGGCGGCAGCGGCUCCCGCGGCCGCCGCCACCCCUCUCCCGCCUCCUCCGCCGACCCCACCCGACGCCGCCAUUUCCCCUCCCCACCCCCCUCCUCCCGCCGCGGCGGCCGCCACGGCGCUCACCUCCUCGACCUCGUCGUCGGCGGCGGCGGAGGAGCGCCUCAAGGUCUACCUCCGCAUCCGCCCGCUCCCGGCGCCGGAGCGGGAGCGCGGCUGCAGGCCUGCCGCCGGCCGCGCCAGGGCCAAGGAGCAGCCGCCGCCGCCCAAGAAGCAGCAGCAGCCGCCGGGGGUCUGCCUCGUCGCCACCGGCCCCGGCUCCGUCGCGCUCACCGUCCCCCAGGCCAAGCUCGUCGACCACCGGCGCGGCCGCACCGCCACCGAGGUCUUCGACGGCUUCUCCGCCGUCCUCCCGCCCGACUCCUCGCAGAAUGAUAUCUUUACUCAAGUGAUGAACCCGCUGGUGGACGAGUUCUUGGGAGGAAAGAGCGGCCUUCUGGUGGCGAUGGGUCCGACGGGGUCCGGCAAGACGCACACCGUCUUUGGUACUGCGAGAAAUCCCGGCCUAGUACCGCUCACUCUACAGAAGAUCUUCACUGCGGCAGAUGAAUCCGAAGGUGGCAACCAAUCGCCAAGAUCGUUUUACUUGUCAAUGUUCGAGAUACUCUGUGAAGGAAAAGGAGAACGGAUUCUCGAUCUUCUGUCUGAUGCAGCAGAACUGGCCCUCCAGCAGUCAGCAACAAUUAAAGGCCUUAAAGAGGUGGCCAUUUCAAGUGCCAUGGAUGCUGAGAGUUUAGUUUCACGUGGCAUGCUUAAGCGGAGCACAGCUGCAACUGAUGCUAACAGCGAGUCAAGCCGGUCACAGUGCAUCAUCACUAUACGUGCUGUUCAUAAAACUGUUGACCAACAAAGUGAGCACCAGAUUAGUGGAUCUGUCCUGACAAUUGCUGACCUUGCUGGAGCAGAGCGAAAAAAGAAUACCGGAAAUAAGGGUUCAAGGUUGUUGGAGAGUAACUUUAUCAACAAUACGUCCAUGGUUUUCGGUCUAUGUCUGAGGGCUUUAUUAGAUCAUCAGAAAAAUCAGAAGAAAACCUUGGAGAAACAUUUUAAGAACUCAAUGUUGACUAGGUACUUGAAAGACUACCUGGAAGGAAGGAAGAAGAUGACUCUGAUUUUGAACGUGAAACCAGGAGAAGAUGACUACGCUGAUACAUCAUAUUUGCUCAGACAAGCAUCUCCUUACAUGAAAAUAAGGUACACCAGCCUUGAUGAAUCUUCUGAUUUGGUUUCCCAAAAGAGAACCAAUGUUUCCCUGGUUUGCCAAGAGAACAAGAAAAAGAGGAAGGUUAACAAGCCCGAACCUGAAGUUGUUACGGCUGAAGAAAAAGAGCUGCAAAGAGUGUCUCGAAGUGAACAAAUCAUGAAGAACCUUUUCAAUGCUUUAUGGACUGUUUCAAAACAAAAGAUUUCGGAGUCUGAGGUUGCUGCUAAAAGCAUGCGGGAAUUGCUCAAAGAUAAAGACAUUGAAAUUCUAGAGCUGAAAAAGGAGUUGGAUGACCUGAAGUCUCGUUGGUCACACGUUAAGCAAAAUGAUGCUGCAUCAAUUGCUAUAAGCUCGGUUUCUCAAACUGACCUGGCCAGUGACGCUGCAUUAGACAAUUUCCAUUUGAGCACUGAGUUGGUACAAAAGAUCUCAGAAGAAUGUACAUAUUCUGAUCCAGAAAUGUCUUCAGCUUAUUGCGAUAUGACAGAGAAAUCCGUCGACUGUGAUACCUCUGUUGCUAAUUUGAUAGAUGAACAAGAAUUGAGCUCCAGAUAUUUGAAGAAAGAGGCAUGCACUCCUGAUGUUACUGAACCCAAGUGCGAUCUGAAAAAGGAAAAUACGGAGAUAAUGGGACAAGUGGGCAACAAGGAAUCUGAUGGUUCUGAGAGUUCUGAACAGACUUCGGCACCUGACGGUGGUGUAACACAUGCACCCAGUCAUUUGGAUGAUCCAUCUGAGCUAAGCUAUACAGAACUUCGUAUUGUUCCAUGUAAUCUGUCCGCACAGUUUACUGAUAUACAAGUUAGCGAGAAAGCUCCCAUGGAACAAAGUAAAGAAGAGCUAAGCAGCAAUACAGAAGUGGAGAGUAUUCAACAUGGCGUCGACAUAAAAGAAAUGAAGCAGCAUGAUUAUCAAAGUUCAUCUCAGCAACUGAACUGUGAUGCUGGAGACGUUAGCUCCAAUCAGCCUUUCUUAGAGUUGCAAGGCAUGGGUGCUGCUCACCAGAAUCUUGAUGAACUGGUGCCUGAGCCAGAAAUUUGCGAGCACACGGUAAAGGAGGCUGCUGCAGAACACGCACAUGGCCGACAUGUACCAGACGAAGGGCUUCCCCAGACGAAGGCUUCAAUAGCUCCAACCAAGGACUGCCAGGCAGGGGGGACCGCGGAUGACCAAAAGGAGAACCUUUGCCAGAAAGAAGCAAAUGAGGACCUUUGCGCUUCGAAGCCUCGUGAAAACACAAAGAAGACGUCAAGGAGGAGGCUGCUGCCGGUGGCGUCCAUGAUGCUCAAGGAGUUCACCGGCCCUGCCAUUGAUGCCGCGGAUACCAAGAGGGCCACGGAUGGAGGAGGCGCCAAGACAUUGUCAGGCGAGCAGGCGGCUGCUGGGCGAUCGGACGCGCUCAUCCGGCUCCUCAAAGCGAAAUCUCCGCCCAUGAGGCAUCGCCGGGGCUAG
RNAcentral lists this ribosomal RNA (2898 nucleotides) under Triticum aestivum (bread wheat). Its description in RNAcentral is "partial small subunit ribosomal RNA". Lineage: Eukaryota; Viridiplantae; Streptophyta; Magnoliopsida; Poales; Poaceae. The record is from RNAcentral.